AGUGAACGCUGGCGGUAGGCCUAACACAUGCAAGUCGAACGGCAGCACAGUAAGAGCUUGCUCUUACGGGUGGCGAGUGGCGGACGGGUGAGGAAUACAUCGGAAUCUACUUUUUCGUGGGGGAUAACGUAGGGAAAUUUACGCUAAUACCGCAUACGACCUACGGGUGAAAGCAGGGGAUCUUCGGACCUUGCGCGAUUGAAUGAGCCGAUGUCGGAUUAGCUAGUUGGCGGGGUAAAGGCCCACCAAGGCGACGAUCCGUAGCUGGUCUGAGAGGAUGAUCAGCCACACUGGAACUGAGACACGGUCCAGACUCCUACGGGAGGCAGCAGUGGGGAAUAUUGGACAAUGGGCGCAAGCCUGAUCCAGCCAUACCGCGUGGGUGAAGAAGGCCUUCGGGUUGUAAAGCCCUUUUGUUGGGAAAGAGAAGCAGCAGGUUAAUACCCCGCUGUUCUGACGGUACCCAAAGAAUAAGCACCGGCUAACUUCGUG
This 492-nucleotide ribosomal RNA is filed under the name uncultured bacterium. Its description in RNAcentral is "partial 16S ribosomal RNA". It matches the Rfam family "Bacterial small subunit ribosomal RNA", at positions 29 to 507 of the family's 1533-position model. The record is from RNAcentral.